GAUGAAGAACGUAGCGAAAUGCGAUAAGUAGUGUGAAUUGCAGAAUUCAGUGAAUCAUCGAAUCUUUGAACGCACAUUGCGCCCCUUGGUAUUCCAUGGGGCAUGCCUGUUCGAGCGUCAUUUGUACCUUCAAGCUUUGCUUGGUGUUGGGUGUUUGUCUCGCCUUUGCGUGUAGACUCGCCUUAAAAUAAUUGGCAGCCGGCGUAUUGAUUUCGGAGCGCAGUACAUCUCGCGCUUUGCACUCAUAACGACAGCGUCCAAAAGUACAUUUUACACUCUUGACCUCGGAUCAGGUAGGGAUACCCGCUGAACUUAAGCAUAACAAUAAGCGGAGGA
This 336-nucleotide unclassified non-coding RNA is filed under the name soil metagenome. RNAcentral describes it as "partial contains 5.8S ribosomal RNA, internal transcribed spacer 2, and large subunit ribosomal RNA". The stretch from base 1 to 120 matches the Rfam family "5.8S ribosomal RNA", at positions 35 to 154 of the family's 154-position model. The record is from RNAcentral.